AGUGUUCCUUGCUGUGGAAUCAGCCUGAACUUUGCAUCUGUACAGCACACAGGGGAAGCUGAGAAAACAAAUCUGACAGUUUCUUGGACUUUUUCUUAAUUUUGCAGUACUGCGUUCUCAUGGGUGUCCAUCCACAAGGAAGUCACCAGAUCACAGUAUGCACCCUGGCCUGAGUAAAGGGAUAUGUGGAGGAAAUGAGCUUCCUGCUCCUCACAAAGCUGAUUCCACAUGGGUGGCAUUCGUACCACAUCAGUUGCCUCUUCUGGGGAUUUCCACUUAGUACUCAAAGGAAGGAGAUGUAAACUUACUUUCUCAGCGCAAAUGCACAUUACAGCAGCUGUUCUCCAAUCCUUCUGGCUAGCUGUCCUCUUUGGAACAGGCUGCUGUAUGCUUGGAUCAUGCACAACCAUCUCUGAUUAUUCCUUAGGACGCUGGGGGUCUCACAUCAACCUACACAUGCUUUUCUACUCUGCAUCAUUCAAAAUCAAGAAGAUAGUUCCUAAGUCUGUCAAUUUACACCCGUGUUAAAUUCCUCGGGAAGAUGGUGAUGUUGACCUAGAAAAUGAGGUCGCUCCUUUACAUAUUGCUCUGAUUUUUAGCAGUUGUUGUGUUUUGCACACUCUGCCAUCUGAGAGACUUUCUCGGUGUCCAGAGGCUGCAGAGGUGUUAAUCUGUUGUUCCAACUUAACUUUUCCCUUCAUUUUCAUUGAGCCAUAGUGGCCCUGAGGUUAGCAACUGUAGCUCCGACCCACCGAAAUCCUGCAGGUGUCCUCUAGGUGAGCAGAGUGUCCCUGCCUCCAGGGGACUGGUGGCCGCGCUGUGGGAGUGGAGCAGAACAGGUGAGCCUGGAGGAGAAAGGGGGCUGGGGAGCCUUCAGGAGAAAGGGCAGAGCCGUGUGCGCGGAAGCUUGGCCCACAGUUUCCACUGCAGGACAGAUCAAGCACCUUUCAGAAACCUACAACCUGGCUUCUGUCCGCCAGGUAUCUCCUAUGGGCAACACAAAC
This 1004-nucleotide long non-coding RNA is filed under the name Marmota monax (woodchuck). Lineage: Eukaryota; Metazoa; Chordata; Mammalia; Rodentia; Sciuridae. The record is from RNAcentral.